Molecule: long non-coding RNA, 178 nt
Organism: Humulus lupulus (European hop)
Lineage: Eukaryota; Viridiplantae; Streptophyta; Magnoliopsida; Rosales; Cannabaceae
Exons: 3
Source: RefSeq, a predicted model, not a curated record
UUAGAAUUCUUGUUAUGUUUGCUUAUUUUGUGAAUUUUCUUUCACUCUACAGGAUGAUUCUGAGGUUUGCUAUCAGUUUUCCUCUGGAAUAAAGACCAUUGUGGUAGUACCGGUUGAACCACGAGGACUAGUACAGUUUGGAUCUACUGAGAAGAUAUUUGAAAGAUUGGACUUUGUG